UACGUAGGGGGCAAGCGUUGUCCGGAUUUAUUGGGCGUAAAGAGCGUGUAGGCGGCCAGGUAGGUCUGAUGUGAAAACUCGAGGCUCAACCUCGAGAUUUCGGCGGAAACCAUCUGGCUAGAGUCCGGAAGAGGAGAAUGGAAUUCCCGGUGUAGCGGUGAAAUGCGCAGAUAUCAGGAGGAACACCGGUGGCGAAGGCGGGUCUCUGGGCCGAUACUGACGCUGAGGAGCGAAAGCGUGGGGAGCGAACAGG
RNAcentral lists this ribosomal RNA (253 nucleotides) under uncultured bacterium. RNAcentral describes it as "partial 16S ribosomal RNA". It matches the Rfam family "Bacterial small subunit ribosomal RNA", at positions 524 to 776 of the family's 1533-position model. The record is from RNAcentral.